This is a long non-coding RNA of Pleuronectes platessa (European plaice), 628 nucleotides long. RefSeq lists it as uncharacterized. The record is from RefSeq and is a predicted model, not a curated record. The transcript is spliced from 2 exons. NCBI's taxonomy places the organism in Eukaryota, Metazoa, Chordata, Actinopteri, Pleuronectiformes, Pleuronectidae.
CACGGGGUCAUGCUGCAGCUGACGUUUCGUGUAAAUAAAAUACAACAAACAGCUAAAGUCACAUUUGAAGCAUGAAUCUAAGUGGUUCUUCUCAUUGUCAAUGAAACGUAUCCGUCUUUUAAUCAUUGCUGGACAGUUUGGGGGACAGUUUACUUAUUCACUCUUUUGACAAGAGUGAAAUUAGAGGAUCAAUGCCACCUUCCUUUAAAAUAUGAAGCAGCAGUUAUCUUAGCUUAGCACCAAGACUGGAAGCAGAGGGAAACGGUUAGCCUGGAUUCCUGUGGUGUCACAUUUCGACCGGUCAGCUCGUAAAAUAAGCAGAGAACCCGGCCCCUCUCGCUGCGGACGACCACGGAGGAUGUUAAAGAUGACACCUUAUGGAACAGGGAUUAACCAUUUCCAGCUGAAGGGAGACCAUUAGUCUAACUCAAUCAGGGGACUAAUUCAAUCAAAGGCACAGUGGGCGUCUUGACAUGGGGGCAUCUGUCACGCUGACUUCUCACUGCAUCCUGCGGUGACAUUUGGCCACAAAAUCCAGGCUGACAGAGGCCGUCGGAUCGCCUGCGGUGUGUCAGACGCGCGCUCGAAAAACAUCUAGACGCACACUAAUACACAACUGAAUUCACAA